Molecule: ribosomal RNA, 253 nt
Filed under: uncultured bacterium
Lineage: Bacteria
Description: partial 16S ribosomal RNA
Rfam family: Bacterial small subunit ribosomal RNA
Source: RNAcentral
UACGUAGGUGACAAGCGUUGUCCGGAUUUACUGGGCGUAAAGAGCGCGCAGGCGGUCGUUCAAGUCGAGUGUGAAAGCCCCCGGCUCAACUGGGGAGGGUCAUUCGAUACUGAUCGACUCGAAGGCAGGAGAGGGAAGUGGAAUUCCCGGUGUAGUGGUGAAAUGCGUAGAUAUCGGGAGGAAUACCAGCGGCGAAGGCGGCCUUCUGGACGGUGACUGACGCUGAGACGCGAAAGCGUGGGGAGCAAACAGG